GGACGGCCUCGGGGGUUGUAAACCGCUUUUCUCAGGGAAGAAGAUCUGACGGUACCUGAGGAAUCAGCAUCGGCUAACUCCGUGCCAGCAGCCGCGGUAAUACGGAGGAUGCAAGCGUUAUCCGGAUUUAUUGGGCGUAAAGCGUCCGCAGGCGGCUAAUCAAGUCUGCUGUUAAAGGCCGAGGCUUAACUUCGGUUGAGCAGUGGAAACUGAUUAGCUAGAGUGCGAUAGGGGUAGAGGGAAUUCCCAGUGUAGCGGUGAAAUGCGUAGAGAUCAGGAAGAACACCGGUGGCGAAGGCGCUCUACUAGACCGCAACUGACACUGAGGGACGAAAGCUAGGGGAGCGAAUGGGAUUAGAUACCCCAGUAGUC
This 372-nucleotide ribosomal RNA is filed under the name uncultured cyanobacterium. Its description in RNAcentral is "bacterial SSU rRNA". It matches the Rfam family "Bacterial small subunit ribosomal RNA", at positions 409 to 795 of the family's 1533-position model. The record is from RNAcentral. Lineage: Bacteria; Bacillati; Cyanobacteriota.